Copidosoma floridanum is the source of this 129-nucleotide long non-coding RNA. The record is from RefSeq and is a predicted model, not a curated record. Lineage: Eukaryota; Metazoa; Arthropoda; Insecta; Hymenoptera; Encyrtidae.
AAAAAAUCCUAAGAUUCUUGUUAAGUUGAAACAUUUUUUUAUAAGCUUGUCAAGCCGAAAUUUGGUAUUCUCUGCAGCUGAAAUGUUUACACUAAAUGAAUCGUUGUUUAUGUCGAUCUUAGGAUCAAU